AGGCUAGUUACUGUGCCAGGAGAACAUGUCCAACUGCCUCUUAAUAACAGGAUGAUAAAGAGAAGGCCAGUCUUACCUGGGAGAUGUCCUUUAAUAGAAAGGACAGAUUUAUAAAACAGAUAAAAAAGAGAAAAUAUGCACUUGAAGAGCCUGGGUUUGUUCAAGUACAAGCAUGGAGAGCCUGAGUGAUCUUCACAUUCAGAUCACAACUUUGCUGCAAAGGAAGGUCACUUUUGCUUGUGUUCUGGGUCAGCUUUUCCUCUUUCGUCCCCUUGAG
Molecule: long non-coding RNA, 277 nt
Filed under: Phasianus colchicus (ring-necked pheasant)
Lineage: Eukaryota; Metazoa; Chordata; Aves; Galliformes; Phasianidae
Description: lncRNA (ENSPCLG00000002051.1)
Source: RNAcentral